UGACCUCAAAUCAGGUAGGACUACCCGCUGAACUUAACAU
Molecule: ribosomal RNA, 40 nt
Filed under: Suillellus queletii
Lineage: Eukaryota; Fungi; Basidiomycota; Agaricomycetes; Boletales; Boletaceae
Description: partial 28S ribosomal RNA
Source: RNAcentral